GUUAAAUGCCAUAUUGAUGGUUUAACUCUACAGUGUUGAUUUAAACUCAAAAGCUAGUGUUACCGCCUGAAGUCUAUCAUUUCCGUUACUUGCCUGCAGUGAGGCGGGAAACCAGACAGCUUUUUUUUUCACUCGACUGGAUCGGACUGGACACGCUCGUGAGUGGGAGCAUUCACAACACAUCAUGUUGGUCAAAGUGAGAUUUGGUGAAACUCAGAAGUAUGUUAAAGUUGCCCAAACUGAAGAGGGCUAUGAAGACUACAAUACAUUUCUUCAGAAAGUCAUAGAAAAGUUAGGUCUUCCAUUGCAGACCGAGCUGCAUGUCACAGAUGAUUCUGGGACAGAAGUGGAUGCGGAUGUGUAUGAGGAGCUUUUAAAAGCAGGGAAUCUUAUCAUUCAUGUGUCCAAAGAAAAGUCUACAGAUGGUGAGAAACGUUCUCCAGUCUAAGCCGGGGGGGAGAAAAAAUCUUGCACGAGUAUGACAAAACAAAGACAUUGACGGAUGCUACACGGCGACAAAUGGUAAACCUCCUGGUUGCAGACAUGAUGGAAGUACAUGGGAGAAUACCACCAACCCAUGUGCGAACAAAAUAUGCUGUUGGCAUCACCACUCUAUUUCCCAACCUUAGUGAUCCAUACUCUGGAAACGGAUAUGAACACUACUAUGAUGCAGAAAGUGGGUCUGGCUACUUGGCCUGGAGGAUAAAGACCGUUCAGCGCAACACUGCAGUUCAAUCUCGGAGAUGCUCAACCAGCACUACGUAUGGUCCAAAGAGCAAGAGGGAUUUUCUCCUGGCUGACAAGCAACUGUUUGGCGAGGAAUGCUGUGAGGCAAUAUUCUUAUUGAAACAUUCAACUGAUGUGUCAGUUGUCAAAGAUAAGAUGAUGGCAACAUUUCAAUACCGCCAGACGCUAGUUCAGGACCAGCAAAUCUCUGCAACAGUCUUGGAUGUGUUCCCGCGGUUUCUCGACAUCCCCGGCUUGAUUGACCAAGAUUUUACCAUGAUGUUUGGAGAAGAGGUUUCUGGCAGAUUUUUGGCAAAAUGGCCGACGUACUUCAAACCCAGGCUCCUGGCAGACUGCAAGAACCGGACUUCUAAUGAGCAUGUUGAAGAACUCUUGUCUGCGCAGCAAAACUCAAAUGAGUCUGGCUGGGACAGUGACCUGUCAAGCGUUCUACUGCUGGUUCACCUGCUCCCCCCUACGUCAAAAGGCCACAAGAAGAGUGCUAAGAUUAGCUCAUAUCAAGUUGUCAACCAUGUGGCGAGAUAUCUUAAGAUUGGAACCAGUGUUGAGGCCUUCCUAGGGAGCUUGGAACCAGGACAGCCCUUCCUUCUCUGUGUUGGUGAACAGAAGAACAACAUUCAGAGGUUCUAUGUCAUCGUUGACCAGAAGGCCAUCCCUUGCAAGGCGCAAACAUCCCUGGCAGCUUUCGAUGAGCUUUUCAAGGCACACUUCAUCUUCAGUGUUAACUACCAUGAAUCCCUCAACAGCUUCUACACAUUCAUCCAAACCACAGUGUUUAACAUCGACUUGGGAAGUACCAAGGAAAGUCCCAGAGUAAAGGAACUCAGAGCAAGGCUGUUUCACACUAAUAUUUGAGCUGAUACACGUCCUUGUUUGCAAAUAUGCUGAUAUGUUUUAUUUGUAAGGCACACCAGAAAAGUUCUGCAUUGCUUUGUCAGCAUUUGAGACUUCGCCAUGGAUUAUAUCCAGGAAAGACAUUACGUUUGAAAUGUGGACAACCGGGAUGUUAUCAUUUUGUACGUAUUCAGGGUUCAUAAAACACCUUGUUCGUUUGCACAAGGACACUUGUUCACCAAAUAAACACCUCGUUCAUUUGCACAGGGCCACUUGUUCUCCAAAUACUAUUGACAAUGUGGACGCUCAAAGUGAAGGUGAUGAGCCUUCAAGUUCUCAGGCAUUCUGUACAGACACUCCAGUAACUAGCCGGACCUCUGUUGACAAGCAUCAUUUGUUAAACCUGUGUAGAUCUGUUGUAGCACAAUUGCAAGCAUCAGGUGUUGCUGAGAGCACUGUCCAAGCAAUGGUAGGGUCAAUGGAAGAGCUUGUAAAUGACAUUCAUGAGCAAACAAGAGAAGCUGUUCUCAGCUGUACUUCUUCAGAGAUUCAAGCAACCGAUUUGGAAGAAAAGGUGGAAAAUUGUUUUGGUCAAUUGGAAAAUCCUUUCUCAGUCUUAAAUACAGCAGCCAAACGACAGAAGUUCUUUGAGGAAAAGUGGGAAAUAGUUGAACCUGUAGAGUAUGUUCUUGGGGUGCGUUUUGAUUUGUGAAGAGAUCGGAUAACAGGAGUUUACAAUCAGAUCCCUGUAACAGAUAAAUUUGUGUAUGUACCCAUCUUGGGAACCCUGAAAUCUAUGUUUAAGAAUAGUGAAUUAUGUGAAAGUUUCCUGUAAGUCAAGCAACAUAAAGAAGGUGUUUAUAAAGAUAUAUGUGAUGGUUCAUACUUCAAAAGUAAUGAUUUGUUUUCCCAGCAAAAACAUGCUCUACAGAUUCAGCUUUAUUACGAUGAUUUUGAGACGGCAAAUCCCUUGGGUUCAAAGAAAGGGAUACACAAGCUUGGUUGCAUUUACUUUAUAUUGAGGAACCUGCCCCCAAAAUGUAAUUCUGUUCUGAUGAAUAUUCAUGUUGUGGCACUUUUUCAUUCACAAGACCUGAGGAAAUAUGGUUUUGAUGAAAUACUAAAGCCUCUCAUUUAUGAUGUUAAAACACUAGAAAUGGAAGGAAUAGAGGUACCUUUCUCAGACUCACCAUUGCGAGGGACUGUUAUUCAAGUAACAGGUGAUUAUCUAGGUUUGCACGGAUUGUUUGGUUUGAUUGAAUCCUUCAGUGCAACAUAUUUCUGUAGAUUUUGUUUAACUACAAAGGAAGAGUUACAAUCUGUCUUCACUGAAGAUAACCCUUGCUUGAUUUUCCGUACAAAAGAAAUGCAUGCAGAACAUUGUGCAUCUCUACAGGAAAAUCCUAUGUUGGCAUCAACAUUUGGUGUCAAGAAGACAUGCUUGCUCAAUACAUUAUGUUUUUACCACAUCUCUGAUAACUAUGCAGUGGACAUCAUGCAUGAUUUACUUGAAGGUGUAGUGCAGUACAAAUUGAAACUAGUAUUUCAAUACCUGGUCAAUAACAAGAAUCUGUCUUUAGAAACAUUGUCACAGAGGAUCCAAAGUUUCAACUACGGUUAUAUUGAGCGAAAAAACAGGCCAAGUGGGUUGAAAAUGGAUGAGGGUAGUAAAGAUCUUGGAUUGAAUGCAAUUCAGUCAUGCUGUCUUGUGCGAAAUGCUCCCCUGAUUUUUGGUGAUGUAAUUGAAAGAAAUAACAGUCACUGGAACUUGCUCCUCCUCUUGAUUCAGAUAGUGAAUAUAGUGUUUUCACCAGUUGUUACUAAUGGUUUGACGUAUUAUUUGAAGCAUUUGAUUAAUGAUCACCACAAGCUGUUCAGAUCCUUGUUUCCUGACAGAAGAUUAAUUCCAAAGCAUCAUUUUAUGAUCCAUUAUCCAAGGUGCAUUCGUAAAAUAGGUCCACUUCUUCAUGUAUGGUGCAUGAGGUUUGAGGCCAAACAUAAUGUUUUUAAACGAUCUGUUAAAAAUUUCAAAAAUAUCACAAAAACCUUGGUAAAACAACACCAGAGACAGUUAGCUUAUCACUGGGAGAAUUUUAAUUUUCAGAGAUUUGAGUUUGGUCCAGUGAGGAAAGAAAUGAUCGAUAACUUGGAGAAUUUAAGUGCUAAGUUUCAUGUGAAUGCAUU
Cyprinus carpio carpio is the source of this 3765-nucleotide long non-coding RNA. Lineage: Eukaryota; Metazoa; Chordata; Actinopteri; Cypriniformes; Cyprinidae. The record is from Ensembl.